AUGAAACUUGAUAACACUACAGGGUCUUUUAUAAGACCCAGUGACCAAUUUUUGCAACCCCUUGCUGGAGCAUGGGGUA
RNAcentral lists this small nuclear RNA (79 nucleotides) under Nippostrongylus brasiliensis. RNAcentral's name for it is "SmY spliceosomal RNA". It matches the Rfam family "SmY spliceosomal RNA". The record is from Rfam by way of RNAcentral. Lineage: Eukaryota; Metazoa; Nematoda; Chromadorea; Rhabditida; Heligmosomidae.